UGGGGAAUAUUGGACAAUGGGCGAAAGCCUGAUCCAGCAAUGCCGCGUGAGUGAAGAAGGCCUUCGGGUUGUAAAGCUCUUUUGUCAGGGAAGAAACGGUGAGAGCUAAUAUCUCUUGCUAAUGACGGUACCUGAAGAAUAAGCACCGGCUAACUACGUGCCAGCAGCCGCGGUAAUACGUAGGGUGCAAGCGUUAAUCGGAAUUACUGGGCGUAAAGCGUGCGCAGGCGGUUUUGUAAGUCUGAUGUGAAAUCCCCGGGCUCAACCUGGGAAUUGCAUUGGAGACUGCAAGGCUAGAAUCUGGCAGAGGGGGGUAGAAUUCCACGUGUAGCAGUGAAAUGCGUAGAUAUGUGGAGGAACACCGAUGGCGAAGGCAGCCCCCUGGGUCAAGAUUGACGCUCAUGCACGAAAGCGUGGGGAGCAAAC
This 426-nucleotide ribosomal RNA is filed under the name uncultured bacterium. RNAcentral describes it as "bacterial SSU rRNA". It matches the Rfam family "Bacterial small subunit ribosomal RNA", at positions 355 to 773 of the family's 1533-position model. The record is from RNAcentral.